GUAUGUAGAGACCACUUUGCUCCAGAUGGGGAGGAAAAUGGUCGAAAGAAGUCCCAGAACAACCCAGGGAAAGUGUAGACCCUACUGCUCAGGCAAAAAUUCAAUUUUGAGGGUGAGAAUUUUCAGCCUGGUUCCUGAAAGUGUCCUAGACAAGGAAGAUGCAUUCUCACCACCACGCUGGGCCAUUCUGGAUAAAACCAAACCUGCUUCUUGGCAAAGGUCAGUGGUAAUGUCAGUAGCGUCUCAGACACCUGCCCAUGGAUGCCUUCUGCCAGGCAGCCAGAUGGCUCAUUACGACCCACAUGUAGCUCUCUAGGCCCAGUGCCCUGGCUUGGUGGCAGCAGAUGGCCUGGGGGACAGGGGCUUGGUCUCAUUGCUCAGAGUGUUCUCAGAGACCGUCUUGGGAUUAGCAAACUCAGGGGAUACCAAGGAAGAUUUCCUUAGACCUGGGUGGACCCAACUUAGAGUUUACUUCUAAGUAACUAGUUCUAAACUCUAGAAAAGUAGAAUAAAAUGAAAUAUACUUAUUACUUGCCAGGAAGUGGUUGAAUUCUUGCUGUUACUAUAAUGCUACUAUUUGGUAUUAUUUCAAGUAAGUAAUCAGAGGGUUUCAAUAUUUAAAAAUAAAUAAUGGCUGGGCGUGGUGGCUCACCCCUGUAAUCCUAGCAUUUUGGGAGGCUGAGGCGGGCAGAUCAUGAGGUCAGGAGAUCGAGAUUAUCCUGGCUAACACAGUGAAGACCCCGUCUCUACUAAAAAUACAAAAAACUAGCUGGGCGUGGUGGCGGGUGCCUGUAAUCACAGCUACUCGGGAGGCUGAGGCAGAAGAAUCGCUUGAACCCAGGAGGCAGAGGUUGCAGUGAGCUGAGAUCACACCACUGCACUCCAGCCUGGGCAACAGAGUGAGACUUCGUCUCAAAAAUAAAAUAAAAUAAAAUAAUAAAACAAAAUAAAAAUAAAUAAAUAUACAAGAAAACCACUGACCCUUCACUAAAUUGGUAGUUGUCAUCACACUUAAUCACUGCCUUGCCGGCAAUAUCAUUCCCUUCUGGAAAACCUGUCAUCAGCAGCUGGCAGGAACUCACACCGUUCUUAAAUUUAUCUGUUAAUAGAUGGUUUGACUGCAACUUUUUUUUUUCUUAACUUUUAAGCAGUAGCAAUUCAACACUGAAAAGGAAUGUGAUGUUUAUUGCUGUUUUCCCCCAGGAACAAAGAAAUCUGGCAGGACACACACAGGUACAGCAUGGACCUGCUUUCGGAGUUAUGCAUAAUGAUUUUUUAAGUUGGAGUGUGUUUGGAUGAGGAGGGACAAGAAAACUGCUUCUGCAGGGGAGGUGGUCCCCACUGCAGCUUCAUCUGUCCCUAGGCCACCUCCCUGCAGCCACCCCAGGCAGUCGUGCAGGACGUCAUGUCCUGGCUGCUUUCCUCUGAGUCACAGAGCUCGCCACAGCACUUCUUCCUCCGCCUCUUACAGGCCUGGCCAGCCAGGAAGUCACAACCACAGCUAAGAGGUUCUGUGCUGAGCAUCUACAGUAGCCCCCAAGUGAGGCCAGAGGUAGAUGGUAAUGGGUCUGAGGCUUGGGGCCAUUUCACAGGACAAUCAUCUCUAUACUUUUCAUUUUGGUUUUAGAACUCUGUGGGAUUUCUUUAUCUCAAAUGCCCUUAUCAGUCUGCAGAUCUCCUGAAGGCUCAUCUGGUUUGCUAGGUCUUAGUCUGCUCAAUACAGAUGAUAAGAUAGUGGGUGAAACAAGAGGUUUGGUAACAUAAGUUCCUGAUGACAUGAGUUGUACACAGUAUAUGUGCAAUUUCUCAACACAUGUUUGGCCUAAACACUUGCAAAUACACCAUCCUGAGCUAAGAGAGUGACUUUCUUUGAUUUUUUUUUUCUUUAAGCAAUGACACUAAUCCAACAACAAUCAUUGGAGAAUGCCUACUAUUUUCCAGGCAUUCUCACAAGACCACCAGAUUCAAUGUGAGAGAUCCCCUGCCCUCUAGAGUUUUACAGGUUAAUGGAAAGGGGUUUUUACCAAGAAGCGCAAAUCCAAAUUACUCGUUUCUUAUGUUAGCAACUUCACCCUCAGGAGUAAGCAGCAGCAGCAGCCAAGGGGCACACAGAGCCACAGGCUAAACACGGUCCACAGCUUCCUGAAAUCAAAGGGCUUCAAAGAUUUGGAAGACACAUUUCUUUUGAUUUUUAAAGCAACCACACACCUAUUCUGGAAUAGUGUACAAAAAUCACAUAGGCCAUCCCGACUCCUAACUGAAUCCCCUCUUCCACCGUCAGAGGACGAGGGCACUUUUUGGCAUGAUGGAGAGAAGCGAGGGGGCAGGGGUGGCCAGAGAGACGGCUGGAGUGGAGGCGGGGGCACCAGCGUGGGGUGAAGGCAGAGGCACCACGGGAAUGUAAAUUGCAGGACGCAUCCUGAGGCAGAAUGAGGGAGAAACAUUCACCAGAAGCUUCAGACUGGGAGGAGACAGAGUCUUUGAGGCAACCCAGGGGCUUCUUAGCUGCAGCUGUGUCUGCUUUGAAGUUCAGUCCACUCUCCCCAGGAAGCCAAGAGGCUCUCAAGUGCUUGCAGCAGAGAAGUUUCAUAGAACAGAAAGAGCAGACAGAGGCACGCUGCGCCCUCCAGCACGGCUGCCUGGCAGGAAGCUUUGCUGAGUAACUUUGGUUUUAGUUGGAAACCUUCUGUCAUGUUCCUGUCGGGGCAGUGUGGGGAGUGUGGGCUGCACUGUGGCGGGUGGGUUAGAUUUCCUCCUUCCAUGCAGUGGACAGGGAUGUGGGAUGGGGGCACGAAGCCAUGGACAAGUGGAUAACUGACCUUGAGAAGAUGUAGAGGUCACCACAGAGGGUUUCCAACUCACGAAAGCAUUUCUGCUAUGGGAAGGACAAGGGACGCUGGCCUAUGGAACAGGCCACCGGAGAUUCCAGAGCAGAGCCCUGCCCAGGCCUCCAGACUUGUGGCUUUAAUUAUCCAGUUAGUCAUAGGUUUACUGUCAUCCAAGUUUAAGAAGCUUGACUGUGACCCAUGUGCAAAAAAAGGUUGUUCAGGCUUUUUUUUUUUUUUUAAAGCCACUCUGGGCUGUUCAGCAGGCUGAGACAGGAUCCCCAGAGCCCACCAGCCCUGCAGAAGUGGGGACUGCCUACCUGCACUUUUCUUUCUUAGGCACUUUUAUCUUGAACACAGAGCCUCAGGCAUUGGCCAGUCCGGUUAGUCUGGAAAAACUUGAGAGCCAACAGUUUAUUUCUGCUCUGAGGGCAGUUUCACUAGCACAGAGCACAUGGCGAGCAGAGCCCAGAUUACAAGGCUGGGCGGGGCGGGGCGGGGGCGGGGGCGGGGGCGGGGGUGCAGGUGAGGUGCUUCGGCUCUGACGGGCGCUGGGCUGCUCACCCAGUUUUACAUGGGAAGUGGUAGGGCCCUGUCUCCCCUGGCCCCUGCCCAUGCCCCGGGAGAAAUGGGAGAGUCCUGCUCCUCGCUUAGCUCAGCACAGCGAGUCCCCUGGCUUCAGCUUCCCUCCUGAGCACCUGACGGUUGUCGGUUUACUGUGACUCACUGCCAUUCUAUCUGCCUGGGCUUAUGUUUCCAGCAUCUCACCAGAGCUGUUGUGACCCAUCUCCUGGGCAAAGCCUUCCACGGAGAGGCUGCCGGGCCAGCAGGAGAGGAGACCCAAUCCAUCCAUCAGCAUUUGAAUAAUUCCAUCCACACAUACUUCUCUUCCAAACACCCGGGCUAUUUUCCUUUCCCUGAGCCAUGCAAGCCCAAGGAGCCAGCAGGGUUGCGUGCUCUCAGGAGUAGGACACGUCACAUCAACUUGAGUGCUCCAGGAGCCCUGCCACAAUGGUUUCUUUGUGAGAUCAUCUUUGCAGCGGUUUCCUGAAGCUCUGGCCUCCUUCCUGGUAUCUUCACACAUUCUAGGUGUUUCAAUUCAGUAAAAACAUAAGGGCCUUUUGACUGCUCACUCCUGCACUUCACACUGGGAAGGACACAGAAGUCCCCAGAGAGUGCCCUGGACGACAAAAUGUAGUUCAGAGGUAUCUAAGGUGGGUUCCACCCAAAAGGGUCCCACAAAGAAAGAAUUCCAGGGCCAAUUAAAUUUGGGGAUCUGCAUAGUCCAUCUCUCUCUUGGUGAUUCAAAACAUAUAUUUAUAUAUAUUAAAGGUUCUGAGAAGUCCUGUAAGUAAAUCCUGUUCCACUUUUUAACCCACCAUCUCCCAAACCCAGCAUGAUACUGAUAUCAGCAUGCUACUCUUUUCAUAUAACACCUACUUAUAUAUGAAGGAACUAAUUGAGGUCUUUUGAGAUAUAUUUUAGGAAAUGAUCUAACAGUGGUUUUUAACCUAAGGAAACACCUCACUAGAGAGUGCUUGGGCACAGGAGGUGGCAUUUUGGGUUGUCACAAAGAUGGGGAGGUGCUACUUGCAUUUCAUACAUAGGGGUUGUGGGGGCAGGGGCAGCUAGUGCUGUUACAGUGAUGAUGCAAUGCGGCCCCGUCCCAAGUGGGGUGGGGGGCACUGUCCUGCCCUAAAUGCCCACAACUCUCCCCACGCCGCUCUCCCACCCCAUUGAGAAGCAGUGGUUGGACCUACGCUCAGCAUUGUGCUCCCAGGCCCUCUCUGCGGGUUCAAACGCCUCUUGAUGUCCUCUUGGU
This 4647-nucleotide long non-coding RNA is filed under the name Homo sapiens (human). Its description in RNAcentral is "HSALNT0210708". Lineage: Eukaryota; Metazoa; Chordata; Mammalia; Primates; Hominidae. The record is from RNAcentral.